CAAUAGCGUAUAUUAAAGUUGUUGCAGUUAAAAAGCUCGUAGUUGGAUUUCUGGUCGGAAGCUCCUGUCCUCAGAUGAGCGUACAAGUGCGUCCUACCAUCCUUCUGUUAACCUUUAAGGCUUUCGCGGCUUUCUAGGGGCUCAGAUAUUUUACCUUGAGAAAAUUAGAGUGUUUCAGGCAGGCUAGCGCCGGAAUACAUUAGCAUGGAAUAAUGGAAUAGGACUUUUGCCUCUUCUGUUGGUCAUGAGGCUCGAGUAAUGAUUAAUAGGGAUAGUUGGGGGCAUUAGUACUUAACUGUCAGAGGUGAAAUUCUCGGAUUUGUUAAAGACUAACUUAUGCGAAAGCAUUUGCCAAGGAUGUUUUCAUUAA
Molecule: ribosomal RNA, 370 nt
Filed under: uncultured eukaryote
Lineage: Eukaryota
Description: partial 18S ribosomal RNA
Rfam family: Eukaryotic small subunit ribosomal RNA
Source: RNAcentral